RNAcentral lists this long non-coding RNA (1104 nucleotides) under Apteryx haastii (Great spotted kiwi). RNAcentral describes it as "lncRNA (ENSAHAG00000012580.1)". Lineage: Eukaryota; Metazoa; Chordata; Aves; Apterygiformes; Apterygidae. The record is from RNAcentral.
AUGACUGGCUGGGUAGAUGAGGGGAGAGCAGUGGAUGGUGUCUCCCUUGACUUCAGCAAGGCUUUUGACGCUGUCUCCCAUAACAUCCUCAUAGACAAGCUCAGGAAGUGUGGGCUAGAUGAGUGGACAGUGAGGUGGAUUAAGAGUUGGCUAAAUGGCAGAGCUCAGAGGGUUGUGAUCAGCGGCGCAGAGUCUAGUUGGAGGCCUGUAGCUAGCGGUGUCCCCCAGGGGUCAGUACUGGGUCCAGUCUUGUUCAAUUUCUUCAUAAUGACCUGGAUGAAGGGACAGAGUGCACCCUCAGCAAGUUUGCUGAUGAUACCAAACUGGGGUGGUGAUACCCCAGAAGGCUGUGCUGCCAUUCAGAGAGAACGGGACAGGCUGAAGAGGUGGGCAGAGAGGAACCUCAUGAAGUUCAACAAAGGCAAGUGCAGGGUCCUGCACCUGGGGAGGAAUAACCCCAUGCACCAGGACAGGCUGGGGGUUGACCUGCUGGAAAGCAGCUCUGCCGAGAAGGACCUGGGAGUGCUGGUGGACACCAAGCUAACCAUGAGGCAGCAAUGUGCCCUUGUGGCCAAGAAGGCCAAUGGUAUCCUGGGGUGCAUUAGGAAGAGUGUUGCCAGCAGGUCAAGGGAGGUGAUCCUCCCCCUCUACUCAGCCCUGGUGAGGCCACAUCUGGAGUACUGCGUCCAGUUCUUGGCUCCCCAAUACAAGAGAGACAUGGAGCUACUGGAACGAGUUCAGCGAAGAGCUAUGAAGAUGAUUAGGGGACUGGAGCAUCUCUCUUAUGAGGAAAGGCUGAGAGAGCUGGGCCUGUUCAGCCUAGAGAAGAGAAGACUGAGAGGGGAUCUUAUUAAUGUGUACAAGUAUCUGAAGGGAGGGUGUCRAGAGGAUGGGGCCAGACUCUUUUCAGUGGUGCCCAGUGACAGGAUGCGAGGCAACGGGCACAAACUGAAACACAGACCCUUCCAUCUGAACAUGAGGAAAAAUUUCUUUACUGUGAGGGUGACAGAGCACUGGAACAGGUUGCCCCGAGAGGUGGUGGAGUCUCCUUCUCUGGAGAUAUUCAAAACGCGCCUGGAUGCAAUCCUGUGCAAUGUGCUCUAG